RNAcentral lists this ribosomal RNA (1065 nucleotides) under Rattus norvegicus (Norway rat). RNAcentral's name for it is "partial 16S ribosomal RNA". It matches the Rfam family "Bacterial large subunit ribosomal RNA", at positions 853 to 2617 of the family's 2925-position model. Lineage: Eukaryota; Metazoa; Chordata; Mammalia; Rodentia; Muridae. The record is from RNAcentral.
UGUGCCCAAAAAGAAUUUCAGUUCAACUUUAAGCUUACCAUCAGAACAACAAAUCAAAAUGUAAACUUAAAAUAUAGCCAAAAGAGGGACAGCUCUUUAGGAAAAGGAAAAAACCUUAAAUAGUGAAUAAACAACUACAAUCACUUAACCAUUGUAGGCUUAAAAGCAGCCAUCAAUAAAGAAAGCGUUCAAGCUCAACAUACAUACUUACACACACUAAUUCCACAAACCUCAAUAAAUUCCUAUAUUACAAAUUGGGCUAAUCUAUAGAUCCAUAGAUGAAAUACUGUUAAUAUGAGUAACAAGAACCAAUUCUCCUAGCACAAGUGUAUGACAACCCGGAUAACCAUUGUCAAUUAUCGAAUCAUAGGUACUAACCCAACAAUAAAAUUACCUAUCCCUAACUCGUUAGCCCAACACAGGCGUGCUUUAAGGAAAGAUUAAAAAAAGUAAAAGGAACUCGGCAAACACGAACCCCGCCUGUUUACCAAAAACAUCACCUCUAGCAUAACAAGUAUUAGAGGCAUUGCCUGCCCAGUGACUAAAGUUAAACGGCCGCGGUAUCCUGACCGUGCAAAGGUAGCAUAAUCACUUGUUCCUUAAUUAGGGACUAGAAUGAAUGGCUAAACGAGGGUUCAACUGUCUCUUACUUUCAAUCAGUGAAAUUGACCUUCCAGUGAAGAGGCUGGAAUCUCCCAAUAAGACGAGAAGACCCUAUGGAGCUUCAAUUUACUAGUUCAACUUAUAUAAAAACAACCUAAUGGGCUAAAACAAAAUAAAUAUGAACUAAAAAAUUUCGGUUGGGGUGACCUCGGAGAAUAAAAAAUCCUCCGAAUGAUUUUAACCUAGACUCACAAGUCAAAGUAAUACUAAUAUCUUAUUGACCCAAUUAUUGAUCAACGGACCAAGUUACCCUAGGGAUAACAGCGCAAUCCUAUUUAAGAGUUCAUAUCGACAAUUAGGGUUUACGACCUCGAUGUUGGAUCAGGACAUCCCAAUGGUGCAGAAGCUAUUAAUGGUUCGUUUGUUCAACGAUUAAAGUCCUACGUGAUCUGAGUUCAGACG